CGAAUCGGAAGUACGGUUUCAUACAAAGUAAAAGUGCAGUGCAUUCGAACGACUUAUUUUAUGACAGUGUUUCUGUCGGGAAAGGAAGAGGAAUCCUCGCUUGAAAAACCGUAAAGAUUGACGCAUUCGCUAAUUCUACAAGUCAUCAAGGACAAGUUUCAAGCUCGCACCAAUAAUGGCUGACGAAGACUUACAUUACGCACAGCGCAUGUCCAGUGUGGUGGAAGAGGGGCCUGCUGAUCAGUCUCAAUUUGAAAGAAAUAAAAUACUCAUACGAGGGCUGAGUGUGAAAACUUUCCCGGACGGACUGGUUAACUUUAUCGAGGCAAGGAGUGGCGGGAAAGAGGUGAAGGACGUACAGAUG
This is a non-coding RNA of Pocillopora verrucosa, 364 nucleotides long. The record is from RefSeq and is a predicted model, not a curated record. NCBI's taxonomy places the organism in Eukaryota, Metazoa, Cnidaria, Anthozoa, Scleractinia, Pocilloporidae.